GGACUACAGGGGUUUCUAAUCCUGUUUGCUACCCACGCUCUCGCGCCUCAGUGUCAGUAUCAGUCCAGGUAGCCGCCUUCGCCACUGGUGUUCCUUCCGAUAUCUACGCAUUUCACCGCUACACCGGAAAUUCCACUACCCUCUACCGUACUCCAGUCAUGCAGUCUCAGAUGCAGUUCCUAGGUUAAGCCCAGGGAUUUCACAUCUCACUUACACAACCACCUACGCGCCCUUUACGCCCAGUAAUUCCGAUUAACGCUUGCACCCUCUGUAUUACCGCGGCUGCUGGCAC
Molecule: ribosomal RNA, 292 nt
Filed under: uncultured bacterium
Lineage: Bacteria
Description: partial 16S ribosomal RNA
Source: RNAcentral